Long non-coding RNA from Saccostrea cuccullata (small rock oyster), 223 nucleotides. RefSeq lists it as uncharacterized. Lineage: Eukaryota; Metazoa; Mollusca; Bivalvia; Ostreida; Ostreidae. The record is from RefSeq and is a predicted model, not a curated record. The transcript has 3 exons.
AAUAAAGUUCAAGAAGCGUAAAAGAAUCGUUGGAUCAAAAGUCAUAAUAAAAAGCAUGAGAAAGGGAAGCUUAAUUGUUGACUUUGACCUCGUCAUACCAGACAGCCCAACAUCAAAAGUACUCGUCGUUGACACCGUGUACAAGCUUGUGAAUGGUCUAGUAUUUGUCAACUUCUCGGGAGAAAUAGUCACCAUUACCAGUGCUACAAUACAGCAUUCAACA